UUUUAUGGAGAGUUUGAUCCUGGCUCAGGAUGAACGCUGGCGGCGUGCCUAAUACAUGCAAGUCGAGCGAACAGAUGAGGAGCUUGCUCCUUUGACGUUAGCGGCGGACGGGUGAGUAACACGUGGGUAACCUACCUAUAAGACUGGAAUAACUCCGGGAAACCGGGGCUAAUGCCGGAUAACAUGUUGAACCGCAUGGUUCAACAGUGAAAGACGGUCUUGCUGUCACUUAUAGAUGGACCCGCGCCGUAUUAGCUAGUUGGUAAGGUAACGGCUUACCAAGGCGACGAUACGUAGCCGACCUGAGAGGGUGAUCGGCCACACUGGAACUGAGACACGGUCCAGACUCCGUACGGG
RNAcentral lists this ribosomal RNA (357 nucleotides) under Staphylococcus agnetis. RNAcentral's name for it is "bacterial SSU rRNA". It matches the Rfam family "Bacterial small subunit ribosomal RNA", at positions 1 to 345 of the family's 1533-position model. Lineage: Bacteria; Bacillati; Bacillota; Bacilli; Caryophanales; Staphylococcaceae. The record is from RNAcentral.